UUCCACCUCCCCGCUCACCCCCAGGGUGUCCAGUCCCCUUACUUCUGUUGACGCCUGCCCUGCACUUGCCUUGCACUUGCUCUGCACCUGCCCUGCACCUGAUCAGAACACAAGGUGGCAUCCAUGCUGCCUCACCCCAUGCUCCAGAUGGUGGGGAAACUGAAGUACGGUGAAAUAGAAGGGUUCUGACUGCCAACACACAGCUAGAAAGAGGAAGAACCGGAAUUUGAACCCAGGUCUUGUAGACCCCAGCUGUGCUUCUGACCAAAGACCCCAUGAACUCUCUCCUGAAAGAGUCCCGCCCAUCCCAUAAGACCAAGCCACACCCCCAACCCCAUUGUCCUAGCAAGCUCUUCUCAGGCCCUUCUCGGGCUGAAGCCUUUGGUGCCCCAUUCAACUCCACCUCGAGACUUGAGCCUAGGUUUCUGCCCCUCUGACUGAGAAGAAUCAGAAAACCAAGCUCGUUGACACUAUCGCGCCAGCACCCUUGCCACCAGCACCUGGUUUCUUGGCCACUGAGCUGCCACCUGGCCUCUCAGGGGAGAAAGAGUCCAAGUUCCCUUCUACAGGCACUGGCCCCUGAUUCUGCCUGGGAAGUCCCCGUAGUCCAGCAUCCACUUCCUUGAAUAUUUGUAAUAGUGGCUAAGACUUCUAGACAAGCUGGGGCUGAUACCCUCUCAGGGCUUCAGGUCCACUGGCUCAGGAAUCCUCAACAACUGCUGAGCUGUCACCAGUGAUCACAACGAAGUGGCUUAGCCCAAGUGUGUUUCUUCCGGUUCUGUGGGGUGGAGGUCUAGGACCCCCUGGGGUACAAUCGAGGCAUUGGCUGCAUUCCUUUCAGGAGGUUCUGCGCAGGAUUUUGUAUCCUUGCCUUUUUCAGACUCCAGAACUCACCCACUUGCCAUGUUUUGUGGCUUCCUUCAUCUUUUUUUGGGGUACUGGGAAUCGAACUCAGGACCUUGCACUUGCCAGGCAGGCGCUUAUGCCACUGAGCUGUAUCCCCAGCCUUUUCCUUCAUCUUUAGCAUCAGCAAUGCCAGGUUGAGUCCUCACGCCGCCAUCUCCCUGGUUCUCUCUCCUGCUUCCCUCUUCCUGUUUGAAGGACCCUGGGGAUUACAUUGGGCCCACCAGCUAAUCCAGUAUCACCUCUCAUGCUCGGGUCAGCCAGUUAGUCACCUUAUGCCAUCUGUGAUCAUAGUUGCCUCUUUCUCAUGUAGCCAAGCAGAGUCACAGGUGUAAGGACAGGGCGUGGACAUCUUUGGGGGUUAAUCUGCUUCACAGCUCCUCUUGAGUUAGGAUUUUUUUUAUCCCUAUGAUACUGAUGGAGAAACUGAGGCACCCAAGUUCACGCUGUCAAGCAACAAAAGUGGGCUAUAAACCCAGCAGUUGGGAAUAGUUCAUCUUCUUAAAUUCCAUACGCUACUGCUCUCAUUUGUCCACAGUCAUUGGGUUACAAAUUCUGUUCCAGGUUCAGGGGACCGAGGGGUAACCAAGAUUGGAUCCCUGUUCUCAGAGAGACACAGAUAUAGAACGCAGGAAUUACCCUGCAUUGGGAAGAAUGGGAGAUGGCAGGAGCCCAGGGGCCUCCUGGAGCACAAAGAGUCCACCUGCAGAGGAGUCAGGAAAGAUGUCUGCCUGAGCUGAGAGCUGCAGAGUGGGUGAGGGGUUAGCCAGCAGUACCUACUGCAGAAGGACGCUGUGUGAUUAAAGGCAUCAAUACAUGUAAGGUGCUUCUACCGGUGCCUGCACCCUGGCAGAAUGCAAUAAAUGUUGGCUGCUGAGAGGGGUGGUGAGAGGACUCUCCCAGGCUGGGUAAGAGCUUGUGCAAGGAGCUGAAAGCUUAGGGUGGCCGGGGCAAACAAGGUGAAGGGGUUCUGGGCACAGAAGCUGGAGCAGUCACUGAGAAUGGGGGAUGCACGCCAGAGCUGCACAGAGACCUGGGAGAGCCUGAUGCUCUGGAGAGCUACCCGUGAGGCUACCUGGUGUGCCCCUCAGUCUCCACACAGGCCCACCCAGGGCUCUGAAAAAGGCACUACAUCGGGCCUGGGGACAGGAGUGGGCUGCUUGAGGACUGGGCUCGGGGGGAGGCUCCCCAUAACCCAGCUGCUCCGGCUAAGUCCAGGGGUCCCUUGCUUUCCACACCCAACUCCUCAGCAAGUCCGGUUGCUCCAUGUAUCAGGGUAACACUAGCUGCAGUGACAGAUCCUCAAAUCUCAGAGGCUUAACACAUGAAUAGUUCAGAACAGGUGUCCCCAGUGGCAGGCAGCCCUGCAGGGUCCCUUUGGGCCCAUGCACUCAGCCUGCAGGUUGGGCGAGGGGUGGAGGGCAGGAGGACUGGGUUCUAGGGGCCAGACCUGGGCAUGCACAUGUCACUUCUGCCCAGGUUCCGUUGACUACCCCUAUGUCCCAUGGACACUCCUAGGUGCCAGGGAGACUGGACAAUGUGGCUAGCUGUGUGCCCAGCUCCACCUCCCCAGUACAUCCUGGGUCCCUCCACUUUUCUCCGUCUCUGGUGCUGUGUGCACAUGCGGACUAUGCCCUCCACCACCCCCCACUUUCCCCACAGCAGCCUGAUGCUUUUUUUUUUUUGAGAAAUGAGACUCGAGUCUGGAAUCCUUGUUAUGAGCAUGUUUUCCUGCUUACAGCUUUCCGUGGCUUUCUAUUGUGCUGAUGAAUAAACCCAUGUAAGACCCUA
Long non-coding RNA from Chinchilla lanigera (long-tailed chinchilla), 2694 nucleotides. RefSeq lists it as uncharacterized. NCBI's taxonomy places the organism in Eukaryota, Metazoa, Chordata, Mammalia, Rodentia, Chinchillidae. The transcript has 2 exons. The record is from RefSeq and is a predicted model, not a curated record.